This 384-nucleotide ribosomal RNA is filed under the name uncultured bacterium. RNAcentral describes it as "bacterial SSU rRNA". It matches the Rfam family "Bacterial small subunit ribosomal RNA", at positions 29 to 414 of the family's 1533-position model. The record is from RNAcentral.
AUUGAACGCUGGCGGCAUGCCUUACACAUGCAAGUCGAACGGCAGCACGGGAGCAAUCCUGGUGGCGAGUGGCGAACGGGUGAGUAAUAUAUCGGAACGUGCCCAGUCGUGGGGAUAACGUAGCGAAAGCUACGCUAAUACCGCAUACGAUCUACGGAUGAAAGCGGGGGGAUCGGCAAGACCUCGCGCGAUUGGAGCGGCCGAUAUCAGAUUAGGUAGUUGGUGAGGUAAAGGCUCACCAAGCCGACGAUCUGUAGCUGGUCUGAGAGGACGACCAGCCACACUGGGACUGAGACACGGCCCAGACUCCUACGGAGGCAGCAGUGGGGAACUUUGGACAAUGGGCGCAAGCCUGAUCCAGCAAUGCCGCGUGCAGGAUGAAGG